Molecule: long non-coding RNA, 1440 nt
Organism: Trifolium pratense (red clover)
Lineage: Eukaryota; Viridiplantae; Streptophyta; Magnoliopsida; Fabales; Fabaceae
Exons: 3
Source: RefSeq, a predicted model, not a curated record
AUAGUGACUGUGACAGCCGUUUUUAUUCUCCCACUAAUAUGAAUGAAGAAGAACUUUUUAAUCAGCUGUUCAAAGCUAGACUUGGACAUUCUCCAUAUGACAAAUACGACGGGUGGUCUGAUAUUGCCUUGGGGAGCAAAUUGUGAAAGAAUUGGGAAGUCAUAGUCUAUUUCACAAUCACACGAUAACCGACGUGUUGGAAGUUGUCAUCAAAUAUUAUAAGGAGUAUACAAGUGACCCUGGAUUGACUCAAAAGCGGUUGAGUCGUUCUCUCAAGCUCAAUAUUCGUCAAGUGUUUGACUCCUUUACUGACAAAUAUGGCUCUCUAACAUUUGAUGCCCUUGAAACAGUGCACUCUUUAGUUAGGCCGGAAAACAGUCUGAGUGAUGAAAUCAUAGGGUACAAAAAUGAUGUCUUGGAAGAACUCAUUAAGGUUUGUGAGGAGAAGGCGGGAAGGAUUCCCAUCCUUCCCUCCACAUCAGAUAGAAGGGGAAUUUGAGAGUAUAGGAAGGAGGAGGAAUUCUAUCAUGGGCACAAGCACAAAUAAAUUUCAUUUAGGCACACUCACAACAAUGUAUAAAAAUUAAAGAAAAAACAAUUAAAGUGAUAUUGAUUGAUGUGACCAUUUUAUUUUUCUUUUAAUUUUUUAAAUUCAUGUGUGUGUGCAUAAAUUUGUGCCUAUAUGUCUUGUGCCUAUACAAGAAUACCUCUAGGAAGGAGAGGGGUUAUGCGGGGCCUGUAGCACUGCAAUAUGGUGAAGAUUUGACUGCUCUGGGAAUUACUAAUGAUACGAAGUUUUGGUUACUCCAAAAUUGUAAUCCAAACUCUGUUGAAUAUAUAGCUUUGGUAAAUCAGCCUCUUCAAACAAGACUCGAUUAUUUUCGGAGACUUCUUGAACAAGCUGCUAUACUUGAAGCCGAAGGUUCCAGCCACCAGUGCUAAGUCUUCUAAAAGAAGAAAAGAACCAAGGAUCAAUUCCUAGGCUAGGUUGUGAUGCUCAUAUUGCUGUUGUCCCAGGUGCUGCAUGUCCGCCUCUGCUGCCCCAACCGGCCUCGGAUUCUAUUAGGCACUUGGAUUAUGUUGCAUAAGCUCAACAAAAGCUAGGCCAAACGGAUCCUUGGUCACAUGACAUGGUCGAAACUGCUACAUUACAUAAUAUGCGAAUUCCUGUUUUUGAGUACAAAGAUUGCUGAGACUGGAUAUGUUCGGUUUCAUUUUGCUCCAAAAAUGGGGCGGAAUGAAUAUCAGAUUUGUUAGAAUUGUGUCAAUUAAAAUUAGAAUGAAUAAACUAGACCCGUUAUUUGAUUUCUUUACUUGAAUUUUCAAAUCGUAAAGAUUUAUAUUAUGCUAUAUGCUUAAAUGUUCAGAGUAUAUUGUUGUGUAUUCUAUGUGAUGUGAGAUACUAAUAUUAACAUUAGUAUCAAUUAUUUAAGAAUGAUU